GCGGCCAUGGCGAAAUUGGUAGACGCGCAGUGUUGAGGUCGCUGUUCUGCAAGGAGUGGAAGUUCAAAUCUUCUUGGCCGCACCA
Molecule: transfer RNA, 85 nt
Filed under: Pseudomonadota bacterium
Lineage: Bacteria; Pseudomonadati; Pseudomonadota
Also listed under: 1 other name
Description: tRNA-Leu
Rfam family: tRNA
About the family: Transfer RNA (tRNA) molecules are approximately 80 nucleotides in length.
Source: RNAcentral